RNAcentral lists this ribosomal RNA (247 nucleotides) under uncultured bacterium. RNAcentral describes it as "partial 16S ribosomal RNA". It matches the Rfam family "Bacterial small subunit ribosomal RNA", at positions 333 to 572 of the family's 1533-position model. The record is from RNAcentral.
UGUUACCUACGGGAGGCAGCAGUAGGGAAUCUUCCACAAUGGACGAAAGUCUGAUGGAGCAACGCCGCGUGAGUGAAGAAGGGUUUCGGCUCGUAAAGCUCUGUUGGUAGUGAAGAAAGAUAGAGGGAGUAACUGGCCUUUAUUUGACGGUAAUUACUUAGAAAGUCACGGCUAACUACGUGCCAGCAGCCGCGGUAAUACGUAGGUGGCAAACGUUGCCCGGAUUUUUUGGGCGUAAAGCGCGUGC